CAGCAGCCGCGGUAAUACGUAGGGUGCAAGCGUUAAUCGGAAUUACUGGGCGUAAAGCGUGCGCAGGCGGUUUUGUAAGACAGUGGUGAAAUCCCCGGGCUCAACCUGGGAACUGCCAUUGUGACUGCAAGGCUAGAGUGCGGCAGAGGGGGAUGGAAUUCCGCGUGUAGCAGUGAAAUGCGUAGAUAUGCGGAGGAACACCGAUGGCGAAGGCAAUCCCCUGGGCCUGCACUGACGCUCAUGCACGAAAGCGUGGGGAGCAAACAGGAUUAGAUACCCUGGUAGUCAAGGGCG
Molecule: ribosomal RNA, 294 nt
Filed under: uncultured Burkholderiales bacterium
Lineage: Bacteria; Pseudomonadati; Pseudomonadota; Betaproteobacteria; Burkholderiales
Description: partial 16S ribosomal RNA
Rfam family: Bacterial small subunit ribosomal RNA
Source: RNAcentral